CAGGACUGGACACCCUGCAGACACACUGACCCCCCCAGACCAGGACUGGACACCCUGCAGACACACUGACCCCCCCAGACCAGUACUGGGGAAGCUCUGAUAGCACUUUCCUCAUCACAGCCCCCAGCAUCUACUCUGCCUCCUACUUCACAGGUGGAUCUUUCCCUCCUCCGCAAACUUGAUUUGGAAUUCAAAUCAGCAGCCAGGUGAGCCGGGCCUGGAAAACCACAGACACCCCCCCAUAUACACACCCACGGCCCUCUCCCCCGAGCCCUUCCUGGGAAAGAUGAGGAACAUCCCCUGCUCUCCGGCCCGGAGCACCGAGGCUGUGCCCAAACCUCCCGGACCGGAUCCACAGCCUCUUCACGCACGAGGAAGAGCAGAGACCCCAGCGAUCUCAUCCCCCACCCGGGGCCGACUGUGCCCCUAUCUCACGGGUCCUCCUGAGCGGUCCUCACAGCUGGACCGCUGGUAACCCGAAGAACAGCAGACCUUUCCACAGACCCUCACGGACGCGCCUGGAGAGAAAGAGGCCACCUCUCUCUACCCUCCUUUCCAUCCCCGUCACGGACACGCAAGAACACUAGAGGGAAAUGCAGAAGAGAAUCCAAUUUUCUCUGAUGAGGUGAAUACUGCGGAUGCGGGGGAGAGACAGAUACACACGGUCCCCAUCUCUCUCGGGCGGCACGUCCGGACGCCAGGCAGCCCCGGGCGCAGCGCAGACUGCUGGAGCUGCCGGGUUUUUAUAGUUGGUUCCUCUCUUGCGAGACACGGACCCGGAGCGAUUUCCGUCGUAGAGAGGAAAACAAAACCCCUAAACAGAACCGCCCCUUGCCGAGGGAUGUGCAGCUGCAUGCGCCUGUUUAUAAAGACGCACACUCCCGCAUACAUGUCCGUGUGCGUGGGUAUCGAAAUGUAAACUACACGUCAAACACCACGUCACGACAUCGCAAGGAGAUCACAAGGAGACGGGCACAGCGCGGCCACCAGCACCGGGAACCCAACCUUUCACAUUUCCACCCCACGUAGCCGAUACUCUAUCUUCCCAGGCGCUGGAGGAACACGGACGAAGGCGUUUGCUUGAGGUCACGCCAGCCAGUCUCGCCACAGACACGCAGGUGACACACAAAAAAAAACACGCAGCUCCUCACCUAGAGAGCCACGACCCCAACGGCAGCAGGACGGAGGCGCUGUGAGGGACACAGUCCAGAGGAGACACGGGCGGGCAGCGACAUUAUUAAUGUUAUUAUUAAGGAUUCCGCGCCACACCAGCCACCCACGGCUACCGUGUCGUGUUCACGUCUCUUCCGCAGCGCGCUAGCGAACAGGAAUCUCAGCGGCUCAUUUUCACUCCCUUUCUCGAGGGUGUGCGCGCGCGGGGGGGUUGCCUUCUUUCGCUUGAACGUCCACGGCAGUACCACCGCGAAGCGCACCGUCGCACCCGCCCUGGCGAUUUAAACUCCCCUCCAGCUCCACGGCGGCGGCUCGGCGCACGAAGCGCUGCAGGGCCAGCAGACGGAAGAACGGCUCGACAACCUGACAGCCGCCCUGGCCCCGCCCGCCGUCACUGACGGACAGCCGCGUUAGCCAACCGCUCGCCUGGAACGACAGCGCCGCCGACCAAUCGGAGCCUUCCGGUGGGAGAGCUGUUCGCUCGCCUAAGGAAAGCAAAGGUUCCCGCCUCGACUCCCGUGACAUCAUCGCCCUACAAAACUGUAUUAUUAUUUACUCUUCUCGCAACAGCCAGUCAAAAUUUACCGUUCGGGAAGAGAGGCGGUAUUGCCUCUUGAUGGACAGCAGCAGCACCCAAUUACAGCGCACGAAUUUGUUUACGCACUUCGGAAUACGAUCUUAGUGUCUUUGGAUAGAUGUUUUUAACCCGAGGUGCAGAAAUUAAUGCAUUGAAAAUGGUUUGUUGGAUAGAGUUGGUGUGACUGUAGGUACCUGUGAGGGAGCGAACGGACGGGUGCCUAAAGUUGGCUGAAUUUUCAGUGCCUAAAUAAAAAAUGCUCCCCCGGUUCUGAGGGUUAAUGAAGCCUUCAGUAUUUAGGGGUUUCCGUA
Lepisosteus oculatus (spotted gar) is the source of this 2061-nucleotide long non-coding RNA. RefSeq lists it as uncharacterized. The record is from RefSeq and is a predicted model, not a curated record. NCBI's taxonomy places the organism in Eukaryota, Metazoa, Chordata, Actinopteri, Semionotiformes, Lepisosteidae.